AGAAAAGUGAUGCUAAUUUCAAUGUUUACAAAUGUACACAGAGAAAAAUAUGGCUAAUAAAAAUAAAAAGAUUGUCUCUAUGAUCAGUUGCAGGGACCAAGAAGCGGACAGAAGUCAAAGACGAAGAUAUUUUCAUAGAGAUUUCUUCUUAUUUAUAUGUGGGAAAUCUUCUUAUUUUUAUUUAAAAGUUUAUCUGCUUAAAAUAAUGAGAAAACUUCUUGUUCGAUAAAUUCUGUCUAAAUGUAGGAGAAGGCGGUGAGAAGAGAAUGGAAGCGUACCGUUGCAAGUUCCAUUGAUUUCUUUUGACAUCUUUUUUUCCAUACUCUUGAAUUCAAAAAGUAACUGAAGUGUAUGAAAGAAAAUAGAAAACAAAAACGAAAUGUAAAUCACUAUAAGCAACAAUAACAUAAUGAUAUGUGUUGAGCACGCAACCAUAACAUACAUUAUACGCGUCGAAGUGCACGGGAUGUAGCCUUGCGUAUAUUAGUUAAAAAAAAAGAGCAAAUGCACAAACAAAAACAAACUAUUCACAAGCAUAAGCAUUUCAAUGUCGCCAAUCGUAACUGUAUUUCUAUCGGCUCGUGUUUUUGCAUGCUUAAGAUGAUGCAAUAAUUAUUGGGCAUCAGUCAGUAUUAACGUGAGUGUGGCCCGACGCGUGUCUUAUAAAAAUUGUGACAAGUUUGUAAAAUGGAUAUAUUCAGUUCGGAUGAAAAUAGUAACGCUCCUUGCACAUUAGAUGCAAUUGAAACGCUGCCCAUUUUUAAAUCAUGGGAGUUAAAUGAUGAUAUUUGCUCCAUUCUUGUGAACUACGGAGUGACAUCAACGAUAAUUUUAACAAAAAUGGAUUGGGAAGAUAUCGACUGUUUAUGUGAAAUAAACAAAUUUUUUGGCGAAUGCAUCAAGUUUAAAGCGGGAUUAAGAGAAUGGAGGAAGAACAUGGUAAGUGCAGCAUAAUUUAAUAACUUCUUUGGUGUACAUUUAUGCAAGCAUUUUUAGAAUAUACCGCUUGUACGUGAUGCAAGCUUCUUGUCUGCGAGUUUUGGAGUGGUUAGAGAAAAUUUAUGACGACUUAAAUGCAGCUAAAAGUUCAAGAGAUUCUUCACCAGUACUCCAGCCAACGUAUGAUAACUGCAUGGACAGUCGCAGCUUAACCGACCUUUUAAAAGGUACGGUUAAAGGGCAGCUUGUGCUUCACUUUCAGCAGAAAAAUGGUUUCUUGGACGCCAAGCAGCAGAAUACAUUGUGUCUCUGCAUAAUAGAGAAUUAUAUAGGAAGGCGGAAAAAACUGACAUAUGGAGAAAUGCAAAAGUGGGCCAACAUCAUCUGCGAUGUAUUCCCCAAAGAGAAUCCGGAAACAUAUUUUCUAGCAAGAAAAUAUGGUAAGAAAAAUCCUACGGGAAAGCUAUUUUCACGCUGGACGAAUGCUGACAAAACCAAUUAUAAAAAGUUUUCAACCGAUCGUACAACUACCGCUUCGCCAGCAGCUUUGUCCAGCGAUAAGUAUUACGAAAAGAAGUGCUGGCUACAGAAUAAUUGCACACCAUGGGAACAGGUUAUUGAUUACUGGAAGGAGACAUCUGGUCAAAGAAUUAUAGAUAUCCAUAACGCCAGUUCUUUAAGCUGCAUUUUUAGUGAAUGGCCGCGCUAUAAGGACUUUCGUGGAUAUGAACUUAAAUAGACUUUGAGACUCUUUACCCCGGGAAAGGAAAUAUGUUAUUUUUGAAAUUGGAGAAGUUUUAUAAAGAAAUCCUCAAAAUUUUUGAUAGAGAUAUAAAAGACCGUGUUUCAAGGGAACUAUUCUUAAAGUAUUUGCACAUUGACAACAUCUCAAAUGAAUGUAAAUAUUGUAUAAGUACAAUUCUUCUACAUGCUUUGCUACAGCCUUUGAGGCUUAAUAAGGACAAAAAACCAACAAUAGCUGAUGCCCAAACAGAUUUCGUAACACUCGUUGCAACACGUAAUGAUAUUCAACCCACAAUAACUGAAUUGAAGAAUAAGUUUGCGGUAAGAAAGGAGAAACUACAGCCGAGAAUUAUCGUCGUUGGAUCAGAUUGGUCAUCCAUUUCAGAGUUUUAUGUUUUUUGCGAUGGUCUGCAAUGGAAAUGUACUACGUAUAUGAAGUGCGUUGACUGCAUUAUUAAACUAUCGUACGUUUAUAAGAUAGAGUAUUCACAAAGAAGCAAGCAAGUAUGGGCAUUUUUAAAACAAUAUUUUUUUGAGUUGAAAUCCGAAGAAUUUUCUUCAGUGGCAAAUCUUUUGAGUAAAUGAAACUAAUUUCGUCUAAUUUUGGUAUAAUGCCCAAUUUUGCUUGUUUCAUUUGUCAAAAAGCUCACUUAAAUCCUAUAGAGCUGAUUAAACAUCUAAAGUCAGCACAUGGUACUCCACCAGUUUGUAAAUUUCAAUGUAACGAAUAUAAUUGCAAACAAAUUUUUUAUAACAUUCACAGAUUUCAAAUUCACCUCAAAAAACAUUUGAAAAUAGAAAUUCGCAAUAGCCAAUCUUGUAAAGAAAAUUCUCUUGCUCUUAAUAUUCCAAUUAAAACAACUAAUUCAUCAAAUCAACUAGUACCAAUUCAAAAUAUUACUUCUUUAAAAGAUUCAAUGAUCGCGUUUCUACUUCAACUGCAUUCCAAUACGAAUUUUUCUCGGAAAGACGUAUUCGAAAUUCAAAAUUCCGUAACAGAGUUAAUUUCAACCCCAAUAUGUGAAAUAUUAAGAGCCAUUAGUAAUUUUCAUGAAAAUAAUUCUGUAAUUGAGGAAGUAAUUAAGAUUAUAUCAGCCAUUUUAUGAUUUAACCACCAAAUACAAAUUUUUCAAAGAAAUAGAAAAACUAGACCUGGAUAAACAUCUGCAAAAAUACAUUGUUAGCGACGAACUCUCAGAAGUCAUACUUAAUAACAACCCAACUUUAACCUCAGAUAGAACCGAAAUAACCCUAUCAGACAUUCCUUUUCAAAUUAAAAAAUUUUUUGAGAGUAAAGGGAUUUUAGAGGCAACGCUUUUAAAUAUGAAAAACUUUUCAGAAAACCUUCCUUAUACUCAUUUCAUCAAUAGCAGCUUUUGGCAAAAUUCAAAGAAAAAUAAUGUAACGAUUCCAUUUUUUUUUUGUAUAUGGAUGACUUCGAAAUUAAUGAUCCUUUGGGCAGUAAAUCUGGCCAACAAAAAGUUUGCGGUAUAUAUUAUAACUCUCCAAGCGUACCUCAGCACCAACUUAGCAAAUUAUCAAAUAUAUUUGUAGCAGGGGUUGUUAAAGUUCGAGAUCUACAAGAUUGUGUUCUGAAUAUUUUAAAAACAUUGAAAAUUAAUGGCCUUCAAAUAAAUGUAGAUGGCAAAAGCUGUAUAAACAUUUUAAACUAAUCGCGUAAGCGGUGUCUACGCCAAUUAAGAAGAAGAAGAUUAUAUAAAUUCUAUUACAAAACCCAUACUAAUAAACCUAAGUUUCAGAAUUGUAAGAAAAAGUUUUUAUCAGUUUGUAGUUUGAUAAUUCAUUAAAUUUUUGUAUGUAUAGUAUUUAAACUAUAAUAAAAAAAAUAAUAAUGUGAAUUAUUUGUGAAAAGAUCCCAAAACCUUUCCCAUAUUUUAUUACUUACGAAAAGAAUCAUGUUAAGUUAUUUAAGUUAUUUUUUUACCCAACUUAUGUAAUAAAU
Molecule: unclassified non-coding RNA, 3646 nt
Filed under: Bactrocera tryoni
Lineage: Eukaryota; Metazoa; Arthropoda; Insecta; Diptera; Tephritidae
Description: uncharacterized LOC120780554, transcript variant X1
Source: RNAcentral